RNAcentral lists this unclassified non-coding RNA (246 nucleotides) under Hevea brasiliensis (rubber tree). Lineage: Eukaryota; Viridiplantae; Streptophyta; Magnoliopsida; Malpighiales; Euphorbiaceae. The record is from RNAcentral.
CCCUGAACAAAUCAUUCCCUAGGGAUGCACUUAACUGCGGCAAAUAUUGCCACCAGGGUUCACCAGAUUUCAUGUCUUUCCUGCAAACUAGAAUAGAAACAUACCAUUCGACAUAUCAUAAACAUGUUCAAAUUACCUCCAGGCACCCACAAAAUUGCAAGUUAACAGGUUUUGCAAUGCAGUUUAACCUUGCAUCCCAGUCCGCUGAAGUAGAUUUUCAAACAAGUGUCAAAACAUUAUUAAAGC